This 503-nucleotide ribosomal RNA is filed under the name uncultured bacterium. Its description in RNAcentral is "partial 16S ribosomal RNA". It matches the Rfam family "Bacterial small subunit ribosomal RNA", at positions 30 to 523 of the family's 1533-position model. The record is from RNAcentral.
AUUGAACGCUGGCGGCAGGCUUAACACAUGCAAGUCGCGCGGGGUGAUGGUGCUUGCACUAUCACUUAGCGGCGGACGGGUGAGUAAUGCUUAGGAAUCUGCCUAUUAGUGGGGGACAACAUCUCGAAAGGGAUGCUAAUACCGCAUACGUCCUACGGGAGAAAGCAGGGGAUCACUUGUGACCUUGCGCUAAUAGAUGAGCCUAAGUCGGAUUAGCUAGUUGGUGGGGUAAAGGCCUACCAAGGCGACGAUCUGUAGCGGGUCUGAGAGGAUGAUCCGCAACACUGGGACUGAGACACGGCCCAGACUCCUACGGGAGGCAGCAGUGGGGAAUAUUGGACAAUGGGGGGAACCCUGAUCCAGCCAUGCCGCGUGUGUGAAGAAGGCCUUAUGGUUGUAAAGCACUUUAAGCGAGGAGGAGGCUCUUUUGGUUAAUACCCAAGAUGAGUGGACGUUACUCGCAGAAUAAGCACCGGCUAACUCUGUGCCAGCCGCCGCAGUAA